This 542-nucleotide unclassified non-coding RNA is filed under the name Hevea brasiliensis (rubber tree). Lineage: Eukaryota; Viridiplantae; Streptophyta; Magnoliopsida; Malpighiales; Euphorbiaceae. The record is from RNAcentral.
GCAAAGGUUGUUGAGACACAAGGCAGCUUAGAGCGACAGCUGGAGCUAAUUGAGACUCAUCAGGAAGAGGUUGACAAGGCAUUGCAAAGCAUGGAAGAAGAAGCUGAGCGAAUUUACAAAGAUGAGAGAGGAGUGAUUCUUGAUGAUGAAGCUGCAGCAACAAGGGAUGCAAUGUAUGAACAGGCCGAGUUUGUGGAGAGGGAAAUGGAGAAAAUGACAGAGCAGAUCAAGUCAAUCAUUAAUACUUUUAAUGCCUGCCAGGGUGGAGAACUUGAGGCAACUGAUGGAAUGACACCGCUUGAUGUUGUUGUACGAAUCUUGAACAAUCAAUUGAGUUCACUGAUGUGGAUUGAUGAAAAGACUGAAGAAUUCUCAUCUCGUAUUCAGAAGCUUGCAAGUGAAGGGCCUGCUGCCAAUCGUGAAUCAACUGCCCCUAAAUUAUGGUUGACUCGAUGAUUGUUGUAUUGGUGCUGUCAACAGGUUCAUGUCAAAGUAUAAACCCAAGGGCUUCUGAAUCUUUUGUGGAUUCUCCUUCCUGCUGU